Molecule: transfer RNA, 71 nt
Filed under: Camelus bactrianus (Bactrian camel)
Lineage: Eukaryota; Metazoa; Chordata; Mammalia; Artiodactyla; Camelidae
Also listed under: 1 other name
Rfam family: tRNA
About the family: Transfer RNA (tRNA) molecules are approximately 80 nucleotides in length. Their secondary structure includes four short double-helical elements and three loops (D, anti-codon, and T loops). Further hydrogen bonds mediate the characteristic L-shaped molecular structure. tRNAs have two regions of fundamental functional importance: the anti-codon, which is responsible for specific mRNA codon recognition, and the 3' end, to which the tRNAs corresponding amino acid is attached (by aminoacyl-tRNA synthetases). tRNAs cope with the degeneracy of the genetic code in two manners: having more than one tRNA (with a specific anti-codon) for a particular amino acid; and 'wobble' base-pairing, i.e. permitting non-standard base-pairing at the 3rd anti-codon position.
Source: Rfam by way of RNAcentral
GAGGGUAUAGCUCAAUGGUAGAUUAUGUGCUUAGUAUGCACUAGGUCCUGGGUUUAAUCCCCGUUACCUCU